RNAcentral lists this ribosomal RNA (763 nucleotides) under Staphylococcus haemolyticus. Its description in RNAcentral is "bacterial SSU rRNA". It matches the Rfam family "Bacterial small subunit ribosomal RNA", at positions 91 to 841 of the family's 1533-position model. The record is from RNAcentral. Lineage: Bacteria; Bacillati; Bacillota; Bacilli; Caryophanales; Staphylococcaceae.
GUUAGCGGCGGACGGGUGAGUAACACGUGGGUAACCUACCUAUAAGACUGGGAUAACUUCGGGAAACCGGAGCUAAUACCGGAUAAUAUUUCGAACCGCAUGGUUCGAUAGUGAAAGAUGGUUUUGCUAUCACUUAUAGAUGGACCCGCGCCGUAUUAGCUAGUUGGUAAGGUAACGGCUUACCAAGGCGACGAUACGUAGCCGACCUGAGAGGGUGAUCGGCCACACUGGAACUGAGACACGGUCCAGACUCCUACGGGAGGCAGCAGUAGGGAAUCUUCCGCAAUGGGCGAAAGCCUGACGGAGCAACGCCGCGUGAGUGAUGAAGGUCUUCGGAUCGUAAAACUCUGUUAUUAGGGAAGAACAUACGUGUAAGUAACUAUGCACGUCUUGACGGUACCUAAUCAGAAAGCCACGGCUAACUACGUGCCAGCAGCCGCGGUAAUACGUAGGUGGCAAGCGUUAUCCGGAAUUAUUGGGCGUAAAGCGCGCGUAGGCGGUUUUUUAAGUCUGAUGUGAAAGCCCACGGCUCAACCGUGGAGGGUCAUUGGAAACUGGAAAACUUGAGUGCAGAAGAGGAAAGUGGAAUUCCAUGUGUAGCGGUGAAAUGCGCAGAGAUAUGGAGGAACACCAGUGGCGAAGGCGACUUUCUGGUCUGUAACUGACGCUGAUGUGCGAAAGCGUGGGGAUCAAACAGGAUUAGAUACCCUGGUAGUCCACGCCGUAAACGAUGAGUGCUAAGUGUUAGGGGGUUUCCGCCCCU